This 309-nucleotide ribosomal RNA is filed under the name Triticum aestivum (bread wheat). RNAcentral describes it as "partial small subunit ribosomal RNA". Lineage: Eukaryota; Viridiplantae; Streptophyta; Magnoliopsida; Poales; Poaceae. The record is from RNAcentral.
AUGUUUUCCUCGCAGUCCGCCAGCCGCAUCAACAACAUCCGAACCUCCCUCAUCAAUGCGCAGAAGGGCAACCUCUCCGUCGCCUCCUACUUCGCCGCCAUGCGCGGCUACGCCGACGAACUCGCAGCCACGGGAAAGGCGAUCCCCGACGAUGAACUGGCCUCCGACAUCAUCCACGGGCUCGACGCUGACUAUCAGCCACUCGUCUCUGCCCUAGACGCCCGCGUGAGUCAGGUAACCCUUGAUGAGCUUUUUGCCAUGCUGUCAAAUUUUGAUCAACGCAUGGCACAGUUCCAAGGAUCUGGCGGC